Molecule: ribosomal RNA, 301 nt
Filed under: uncultured bacterium
Lineage: Bacteria
Description: partial 16S ribosomal RNA
Rfam family: Bacterial small subunit ribosomal RNA
Source: RNAcentral
CAGCAGCCGCGGUAUACGAAGGGGGCUAGCGUUGCUCGGAAUCACUGGGCGUAAAGGGUGCGUAGGCGGGUCUUUAAGUCAGGGGUGAAAUCCUGGAGCUCAACUCCAGAACUGCCUUUGAUACUGAAGAUCUUGAGUUCGGGAGAGGUGAGUGGAACUGCGAGUGUAGAGGUGAAAUUCGUAGAUAUUCGCAAGAACACCAGUGGCGAAGGCGGCUCACUGGCCCGAUACUGACGCUGAGGCACGAAAGCGUGGGGAGCAAACGGGAUUAGAUACCCGAGUAGUCCCUGUCUCUUAUACA